RNAcentral lists this long non-coding RNA (5293 nucleotides) under Sus scrofa (pig). RNAcentral describes it as "lncRNA (ENSSSCG00005027180.1)". The record is from RNAcentral. Lineage: Eukaryota; Metazoa; Chordata; Mammalia; Artiodactyla; Suidae.
GAUGCACGGCCUGAGCGUGAGGAGAGAGGGUGUUAGAUCCACUCGUGGGAAGACCAGGGUCCAGGUCCAAGACCCAGGUCCACGUUCAUGGCUCCAUGAUUUAAUCACCUCGAGACCUGGGUUCAUGGCUUCCCUUUGCUGAGCUUCAACUCCCCUGCGGCAACAGGAACCCUGGCCUUGGAGACCUCGGGGACAGAGGCCACACCUGCCUGGACGCCCCCCACCCCGCCCCAGGAAGGAAGGGCUGCCCCCCAAAAGCUGACUCAGGAUCAGAAGGUAUGUACCUAAGAGAAAUAACACCUAUAUCCAUCGAAAGACUGGAAUGACAAUGGCCAAAAUGGCCAGGAAUGGAGAGAAUCCCUGCUGUCCAUCAACACAACGGGUGAAGCGAACUGUUCAGACACGAUGAAACACUACUCAACAAUGAAAAAGAAGGAACUACUGAUACAAACGACACAGUGAAUCUCAAGGUUGCUAAACAGGUGGGCAGACAGAAAACGCCCCCUAAAGGCACCCAGUACUAACCCCAGAAACUGGGAGGAGGUCGGGUGCCCUGGCAAAGCGAAUUCAGGUUGCCGAGCUGCCGAGCUUAAAUAGGUAGAGGACCCUAAAUUAUCCAGGUGGGCCCAUGUGACCACAAGGGUCUUUAAGGGUCAAACAGAGGUGACGUUCCUGCUGUGGGGCCUCGGGUUCCGCAGCAGCAGCACCAGGUUCCGUCCCAGCCCGGCACAGUGGUUCAAGGAUCUGGCGUUGCUGCUGCAGCUGCUGCGAUGUCACAGCUGCGGCUCAGACCUGACUCCUGGCCCGGGAACGGGGGUGGAGGCUGGGCUGGCGGGGCUGGCUUGGAAGACGGAGGUUUAACACUGAUACGAGUGUAUACUGGGCUCUCAUUUCCUGGCUCAUGGCUCCCAAACGCUUAUCAUCACCUAGGCGACUAGAGCGUGAGGGACACCUCUCGUUAUAACAUUUGGUUUUUGUCCUUGGUUCCUGAAAUAGCUGUGAAAUAAUGUCGGGAAAAUGGGGGUUUUUCAUAAGAAACCUAUGAGUUCAUGCUCAGGGGGUGACUUCUGGAAAGCUGCCCAGAACCCUUUAGGGCUGAUUGAUGAGAAGGCCGGUUGAUUAGAAAGUUGGAACUUUCAGCCCCACCCCUGACCAGGAAGGGGAGGGCCUGGGAGGUUGACUUAAUCACCAGUAGCCAAAAGCUGAAGUCCUGCCUCUGUAAUGACGCCUUCGUAAAAAACAAAAACGAAGGGGUUCGGGGAGCCUACCAGUUGGUGAACAAAACUGCAUCCACACUCCCCGUGGACAGAAGCUCCAGCACGUGGGACCCUUCUGGACCACAGCCCGUGUACCUCUUGGUCUGGCCAUCCAGCCGUAGCCUUUAACAUCCUUGCAAUGAUGUGGGUUUUCUAAGGUGUUUUGGUUCUAUAGACUUAAAGGAAAACACACAACUAGGAGCUGAGAGUUUGGGUUUUAUCUGGGGAGCUCACUGUGGACUUCAGCCCGGGAGACGGGCUCUCGGUAGCUCUGAGGAACUGCUCUGAAGAGGCAGGACAGGAGCCAGCAGCUGUGAGUCUGGUCCAGGGAAGGCACAUGCCAUCCAGGACACAGCUUGGAGUUCCCGUCGUUGCUCCGCAGAAACGAACCUGACUAGUAUCCAUGAGGACACAGAUUCGAUCCCUAGCCUCUCGAAGCGGGUGGAGGAUCUGGUGUUGCUGUGAGCUGUGGUGUAGGCUCUCCAAUGCUGUGAUUCUCACUGCCCUUCCUGCUGGGCGCUGCCACAGAACAGUGCUUCAUAACAAGCCGAUACUCUAGUAAGUGACUGUCUUCCUGAGGUCGUGAGCCACGCUGGCAAGUCAACUGUGCCCCAGGAGGGGGCUCCAGGAACCUCCAUCGUACAGCCAGUCAUAGAUGCACAGGCGACUACCUGGACUUGCAACUGGCACCUGAAGCUCGGGGGUGCAGGCGGCCUUGAGGAACUGAGCCCUUAGGCUGCAGAUGAUGGACCGAAUCAGAGCACACCCAGCUGGUGGUGCAGCGUCACCUGGGGUUGGGGGAAAUAAACAGAAGCGGAGUGCAGAGUAUUCGGUGGGAAGUGAGUCAGGGAAACCUUUUAUCUAUACAGGGGGCCAUGAGCCAAGAAAGGCAGGCAGCUCUAGAAGCUAGAGAGGGCAGGAAACAGACUCCCCCUCCCACAUCCAGAGAGAACAGCCUGCAGACACCUCGAUUCUAGCCCAGCGAGACUCAGGACAGACGUCCAUCGAAGAAAGUUUUAGGGUGAUAAAUGUGUGUUGUUUAAACGGCUAAAUUUGCAAUAAUUUCUAACAGCAGCCGUAGAAAUCUAAUACAGCUAACGAAGAGAAUUUCCACGUGGAAUCGCAAAUACUAUAUGAUUCCAACUUUGUAAAGCCCAAGAAUAGGCCAAUGUAAUCUACGAUGGGAAAAACAAACCAAAACAGAACAGAACAGUGGUUCUGUGUGGGAAUGGGGUGGAGAGGAGCUGGGAGCCAGAGGGAACCUCUGAGUUGAUGGUGCUGCUCUCUGCACUGAUAAGGUCAGCAAAGCGUACGCAUUUAUCCAAACGCAGGGAAUAGGAGUUCCCGUCGUGGCUCAGUGGGAAGGAAGCCGACUAGGAUCCACGAGGACGCGGGGAUCGAACCUGCAACCUCACUGUUCCUAGUUGGAUUCGUUUCCGCUGUGCCACAAUGGGAACUCCAUAAUUUUUUUUUUAAAGUUGGUUGCGCCCACAGCAUGUGGAAAUUCCCAGGCCAGGAACUGAACCCAAGGCACAGCAGUGGCUAUGCCAAAUCCCCAACUUUUAGGCCACCAGGGAACUCCCAUGGCUAAAUUUUAUUUCCUUCCUUCUAUUGGUAUCUUAGAAGCUUCCCUCAAUAACCAUGGAUUCUAUCAUGAUUGAAAGGUUAUUCUUUAAAAGCCAGUGCCAAUGGCAGCCUUUUCGCCGUGGAUGGGGACUUGCGGAUCCCACGAAGGCCGGCAAGAACCACGUGGAGACACAACCACAGGGCUUUGGAGAACAGGCGCUGGCACACUCUCCCGACAGGUUCUCAACCAGCGCUGCCUCAUCUUCUGAAAACGGGACAAGGUGACACUGGAAUUGGAAGGCUUUUCAUCUGCAGACUUGCAUGGGGUCUCGGAGGGGAAAGUGUGGUAAGGGGACAGAUGGUGCUUGACGAGGGGACUCCACAGAAGGGUCUGGAAAGAAGAGUGGGAGGAAGCCCAGGGUGUGCUUGUGGGGCGUGGCUCCGAGGCCCUUGAUGGGGAGGCGUGCCUCUUGUCCCUGCAUCCCCUGCCUGGGGAAGGAUGCUGCACAUCUCCAGAACUGGCGACAGAGACCCUCGGCCCUGGCCUUGGCCAGCCCGGCUACGCUUCCAGAUAAAGCCAAGACUUUGCACCUGACACCCAGCACUUAGCUUGAGUCCUGCUGGUCAGGGGGUAGCUCCCCUUUACAGACUUAACCCGGGGUCGGAAUGGCCAAGUGACUGGCCCAGGGUCACUCAUAUUUGUGUAGAACAAAACUUAACGCUAUUGGUCUCUCAUCCAGAAUAUUUCUUCAUGCCUGCAGUCUUGGCUGAAGAAAAUUUACAUAAGACCCUCUGCUCUUUUACAAAGAGAGAAAAAUGGGUAAAAUUAAUUGAGAUCCUUGCAUUCUACUUUCCAGCAAACACCCUAAAAAAAGUUUGCCCUAAAAAAAGUCAGUGAAGGCCUAUCUAUUCUGAAAGAGCAAGAAAACACAAUGCUUCCUUCCACGAAUAACACAUGAACACUACAGCUCAUUUUCUCUAAAAGACGGACUCUGCUUCCGGGGGAAACAGGCAAACGGGCAGAGCUGAAGAAGCACCAGACGAUACAGUUUCUCCUGUCAAAGCCCCGGACACAUGAGGCUCAGUGAAUGGGAGAAAACUCCACACACACGCGGGCGCUGAGUGCUGGCCGGAGGGUGUCCUCACCAAAGCUCAGGUCCACCUGCAACGUGUGCCGGUGACCUUGCUUGGAAAGGGCUUUAAAGAUGGGAUAGGAUGAGGCCACAUGGGAAGAGCACGGCCCUCCUCUGAUGACCGGGCUCCUUCCGAGCAGAGGGACAUGUGGGCACAGACGUGGAGGAAAGGCCACAUGGACGCGGACAGGGGCUGGAGUGGGGCGGCCACCAGCCGGCAGCGCCUGCAAAUGCUGGACGGUGCCCCCAGCACCUCCAGAGAGGACGCGGCUCUGCCCACCCUGGAUUUCAGACUUGUGGCCUCCGGGACCAGGAGAGAAUCGUCUCCUGGUCCUUUAAGGCCCGCGGUUUGCGGUGAUCUGCGACGACAGCCCCAGGACACUGACAGAGGCAAGACCUCCAUUCCUGGGACCUGCCAGACCAGCGGCCUCAGAGGCCACGAGACAGGGAGGCAGCGAGCGCCCAGCUCCAGGCAGGUUCCUACAGCGCCUGCACGUCUCCUGCACGUUGACAGAGCCGCCCCGCUCCCGCUCGCAGGCAGAGCCGAACGUCUAACAGUGUUUGUCUAACACACAACCGGGGUGGAAGACGGCCUGACGCCCCGAGCACCAACCUGAUUCUUGUCCUGUGACUCCUGAGCGUUGGAGGUUUGGGCCAGCAUCACGGCCCCUGGGAGGGAGAUGAGACGCGUGGGCUGGAGGGAGCGCAGAGGGGCCAAGAAGGCCCGAGACGUUCUGUCUCAUCCCCCCUGCCCGCAGGCUGUGCUUCACGGGCUCCCAGAGCCGCCACACUGGGCCCUGUCCCAUCUGUCUUCCCUGAGCCAGGGCCACGUGCAGCCUUGUCCUCCUCUGGCAGCAUCUCAGCUGGUGCCACCUGAGGUCAGAACCCCCCCAAACUGAGGGGGGCCUUUGCCAGGCAUCGCUCACCAAGAAUAGCUCCUCAUGGAUUUCUGAGCAGGCCCCCACUUUAAUUUUCCUCCCGGCGUUGAGAGAGCAAACGCUGAGUCCAUCACCAAAUGUCUGUGUUUCAGGACAAGAGACACGAGACACGAAGCGAGAGCCUUGCUGUCAGAGGGCAUUUCUCACCCUCUCGCUAGACAUGGCCCUGUCUCCGGGUCUGGCAGCUGGAUGUGAAGGGGACACGUCCUUCCCAGCAGAGCCAUUAACAGUGGCUGCCUUCACCUCUCCUUCCAACUGCUGGCCAGAAGGCUGAACCUGAGUCAGAAUUCAAGGGCAUCUUUGAGCUCGGAUGCCAGGAAAAAAUCACAUCUUUAUUUCAAACCUUGACCUGGUCUUUCUGUUGCCUUCAACUGUGAACACAGGUUAAAAAAAAAAAAAA